Molecule: ribosomal RNA, 482 nt
Filed under: uncultured bacterium
Lineage: Bacteria
Description: partial 16S ribosomal RNA
Rfam family: Bacterial small subunit ribosomal RNA
Source: RNAcentral
AUUGAACGCUGGCGGCAUGCCUUACACAUGCAAGUCGAACGGUAACGGGCCUUCGGGUGCCGACGAGUGGCGAACGGGGGCGUAAUACAUCGGAACGUGCCCGAUCGUGGGGGAUAACGAGGCGAAAGCUUUGCUAAUACCGCAUACGAUCUACGGAUGAAAGCAGGGGACCGCAAGGCCUUGCGCGGACGGAGCGGCCGAUGGCAGAUUAGGUAGUUGGUGGGGUAAAAGCUUACCAAGCCGACGAUCUGUAGCUGGUCUGAGAGGAUGAUCAGCCACACUGGGACUGAGACACGGCCCAGACUCCUACGGGAGGCAGCAGUGGGGAAUUUUGGGCAAUGGGCGCAAGCCUGAUCCAGCCAUGCCGCGUGCAUGAUGAAGGCCUUCGGGUUGUAAACUGCUUUUGUUCGGAACGAAAAGCCGUCUAUUAAUACAUGAGGGUCAUGACGGUACCGAAAGAAUAAGCACCGGCUAACUACGUG